CAGGGAUUGCCCUAGUAACGGCGAGUGAAGCGGCAACAGCUCAAAUUUGAAAUCUGGCCCUUGGGUCCGAGUUGUAAUUUGUAGAGGAUGUUUUUGGUGCGGUAUCUUCCGAGUUCCUUGGAACAGGACGCCUUAGAGGGUGAGAGCCCCGUACGGUUGAAUGCCUAGCCUUUGUAAAACUCCUUCGACGAGUCGAGUAGUUUGGGAAUGCUGCUCUAAAUGGGAGGUAAAUUUCUUCUAAAGCUAAAUACCGGCCAGAGACCGAUAGCGCACAAGUAGAGUGAUCGAAAGAUGAAAAGCACUUUGAAAAGAGGGUUAAAUAGCACGUGAAAUUGUUGAAAGGGAAGGAUUUAUGACCAGACUUUUUCUAGGCGAAUCAUCCGGUGUUCUCACCGGUGCACUUCGUUUAGUUUAGGCCAGCAUCGAUUUUCGGGGCGGGAUAAAAGCUUUAGGAAUGUGGCUCCCUCGGGAGUGUUAUAGCCUAUUGUAUAAUACCGCCUUGGGGAUCGAGGUACGCGCUUCUGCAAGGAUGCUGGCGUAAUGGUUAUCAAUCACCCGUCUUGAAACACGGACCAAGGAGUCGAACAUUUGUGCAAGUGUUUGGGUGUUAAACCCUCACGCGUAAUGAAAGUGAACGGAGGUGAGAGCCCUUUACGGGGUGCAUCAUCGACCGAUCCUGAUGUCUUCGGAUGGAUUUGAGUAAGAGCAUAAAUGUUCGGACCCGAAAGAUGGUGAACUAUGCGUGGAUAGGGUGAAGCCAGAGGAAACUCUGGUGGAGGCUCGCAGCGGUUCUGACGUGCAAAUCGAUCGUCAAAUCUGCGCAUGGGG
Molecule: ribosomal RNA, 828 nt
Filed under: Sporocadus multiseptatus
Lineage: Eukaryota; Fungi; Ascomycota; Sordariomycetes; Amphisphaeriales; Sporocadaceae
Description: partial 28S ribosomal RNA
Rfam family: Eukaryotic large subunit ribosomal RNA
Source: RNAcentral